Molecule: long non-coding RNA, 2727 nt
Filed under: Struthio camelus australis
Lineage: Eukaryota; Metazoa; Chordata; Aves; Struthioniformes; Struthionidae
Description: lncRNA (ENSSCUG00000013661.1)
Source: RNAcentral
GAGCAGAUGACCAUCCUGUACGACAUCUGGAACGCGGGGCUGGACGCCGAGGACAUGCACUUCCUGCGCCUCACCUACGAGCGCCUGCUGCAGGAGGACAACAGCACCGACUGGCUCAACGACACCCACUGGGUGCACCACACCGAUAUCCCCGCCCCGGGGGCGUCCGGCGCUUGGAGAUAGGGUAUCACGAUGUCUGGGUGUUGGAGGACUGGGGUGUCCGGGGGUUGGGAGACGGAGCAUCAGGAUGUCCAGGGGUUGGAGGACUGGGGCGUCCAAGGGUUGGGAUAUGGGGUGUCAGGAUGUCCGGGUGUUGGAGGACUGCGGUGUCCGGGUGUUGGGAGACGGGGCAUCAGGAUAUCCAGGUGUUGGAGGACUGCGGUGUCCGGGUGUUGGGAGAUGGGGCAUCAGGAUAUCCAGGUGUUGGAGGACUGCGGUGUCCGGGUGUUGGGAGACAGGGUGUCAGGAUGUGUGGGUGUUAGAGAAUUGUGGUGUCCAGGUGUUGGGGGACUGGGGUGUCCGAGUGUUGGGAGACAGGCGGUCAGGAUGUCCAGGUGUUGGGGACUGUGUCCGAGUGUUGAGAGACAUGGUGUCAGGAUGUCUGGGUGUUGGAGAAUUGUGGUGUCCAGGUGUUGGAGGACUGCGGUGUCCGGGUGUUGGGAGAUGGGGCAUCAGGAUAUCCAGGUGUUGGAGGACUGCGGUGUCCGGGUGUUGGGAGACAGGGUGUCAGGAUGUGUGGGUGUUAGAGAAUUGUGGUGUCCAGGUGUUGGGGGACUGGGGUGUCCGAGUGUUGGGAGACAGGCGGUCAGGAUGUCCAGGUGUUGGGGACUGUGUCCGAGUGUUGAGAGACAUGGUGUCAGGAUGUCUGGGUGUUGGAGAAUUGUGGUGUCCAGGUGUUGGGAGACGGGGCGUCACGAUGUCCGGGUGUUGGAGGACUGCGGUGUCCAGGUGUUGGAGGACUGCGGUGUCCGGGUGUUGGGAGACAGGGUGUCAGGAUGUGUGGGUGUUAGAGAAUUGUGGUGUCCAGGUGUUGGGGGACUGGGGUGUCCGAGUGUUGGGAGACAGGCGGUCAGGAUGUCCAGGUGUUGGGGACUGUGUCCGAGUGUUGAGAGACAUGGUGUCAGGAUGUCUGGGUGUUGGAGAAUUGUGGUGUCCAGGUGUUGGGAGACGGGGCGUCACGAUGUCCGGGUGUUGGAGGACUGCGGUGUCCAGGUGUUGGAGGACUGCGGUGUCCGGGUGUUGGGAGACAGGGUGUCAGGAUGUGUGGGUGUUAGAGAAUUGUGGUGUCCAGGUGUUGGGGGACUGGGGUGUCCGAGUGUUGGGAGACAGGCGGUCAGGAUGUCCAGGUGUUGGGGACUGUGUCCGAGUGUUGAGAGACAUGGUGUCAGGAUGUCUGGGUGUUGGAGAAUUGUGGUGUCCAGGUGUUGGGAGACGGGGCGUCACGAUGUCCGGGUGUUGGAGGACUGCGGUGUCCAGGUGUUGGAGGACUGCGGUGUCCGGGUGUUGGGAGACAGGGUGUCAGGAUGUGUGGGUGUUAGAGAAUUGUGGUGUCCAGGUGUUGGGGGACUGGGGUGUCCGAGUGUUGGGAGACAGGCGGUCAGGAUGUCCAGGUGUUGGGGGACUGGGGUGUCCGAGUGUUGGGAGACAGGCGGUCAGGAUGUCCAGGUGUUGGGGACUGUGUCCGAGUGUUGAGAGACAUGGUGUCAGGAUGUCUGGGUGUUGGAGAAUUGUGGUGUCCAGGUGUUGGGAGACGGGGCGUCACGAUGUCCGGGUGUUGGAGGACUGCGGUGUCCAGGUGUUGGAGGACUGCGGUGUCCGGGUGUUGGGAGACAGGGUGUCAGGAUGUGUGGGUGUUAGAGAAUUGUGGUGUCCAGGUGUUGGGGGACUGGGGUGUCCGAGUGUUGGGAGACAGGCGGUCAGGAUGUCCAGGUGUUGGGGACUGUGUCCGAGUGUUGAGAGACAUGGUGUCAGGAUGUCUGGGUGUUGGAGAAUUGUGGUGUCCAGGUGUUGGGAGACGGGGCGUCACGAUGUCCGGGUGUUGGAGGACUGCGGUGUCCAGGUGUUGGAGGACUGCGGUGUCCGGGUGUUGGGAGACAGGGUGUCAGGAUGUGUGGGUGUUAGAGAAUUGUGGUGUCCAGGUGUUGGGGGACUGGGGUGUCCGAGUGUUGGGAGACAGGCGGUCAGGAUGUCCAGGUGUUGGGGGGGACUGUGUCCGAGUGUUGAGAGACAUGGUGUCAGGAUGUCUGGGUGUUGGAGAAUUGUGGUGUCCAGGUGUUGGAGGACUGCGGUGUCCGGGUGUUGGGAGACAGGGUGUCAGGAUGUGUGGGUGUUAGAGAAUUGUGGUGUCCAGGUGUUGGGGGACUGGGGUGUCCGAGUGUUGGGAGACAGGCGGUCAGGAUGUCCAGGUGUUGGGGACUGUGUCCGAGUGUUGAGAGACAUGGUGUCAGGAUGUCUGGGUGUUGGAGAAUUGUGGUGUCCAGGUGUUGGGAGACGGGGCGUCACGAUGUCCGGGUGUUGGAGGACUGCGGUGUCCAGGUGUUGGAGGACUGCGGUGUCCGGGUGUUGGGAGACAGGGUGUCAGGAUGUGUGGGUGUUAGAGAAUUGUGGUGUCCAGGUGUUGGGGGACUGGGGUGUCCGAGUGUUGGGAGACAGGCGGUCAGGAUGUCCAGGUGUUGGGGACUGUGUCCGAGUGUUGAGAGACAUGGUGUCAGGAUGUCUGGGUGUUGG